AUCCCGUGAUGGCCUUAGCAACUCCUUGAAAAGAUCCCAUGCUUUAGAAAGGGAUUCAUCAUCUUUUUGCUCAAAAGAGUUGAUCUUGUUUUUGAGUUU
This 99-nucleotide small nucleolar RNA is filed under the name Helianthus annuus (common sunflower). RNAcentral's name for it is "Plant small nucleolar RNA R71". It matches the Rfam family "Plant small nucleolar RNA R71". Rfam says of the family: R71 is a member of the C/D box family of snoRNAs containing the C (UGAUGA) and D (CUGA) box motifs. Multiple nearly identical copies of this snoRNA have been identified in Arabidopsis, and it is thought to function as a 2'-O-ribose methylation guide for 18S ribosomal RNA. The record is from RNAcentral. Lineage: Eukaryota; Viridiplantae; Streptophyta; Magnoliopsida; Asterales; Asteraceae.